GUCAAACACAAUUUUAAUAAAGCUUUUAAUAAAAUAAGUGUCUUUUUUACAAAGAAGGAAAUCCAAUAAAGUCAGUUUGAAAAUAAAUUGUGAAAGGGAACUUUAGGACAACUUUUCGGAGGUGAAAUUUAGAUAUGCACAUUCGAUUCCCGCACAUGCCAACAUAUUUCUAUUAUUUAUUAAUUUUUUGUAAAAUCCCGCCAAUCCCCUUUUUCCCUUUUCAAGAAACCGCCAAAAUUGCAUAAAACCUAGUCAUAUAUAUCUCUUCCAUUUCAGUGCUUUCUGCCACACCUAUGCUUGCUGCCGCCGCUGACCAUUGAUGUAGGUACAUUUUUAUAUUUUAUUCUUUUGAUUUAAAUAGAUCUUGUUUAAUUUUUGUCCUUUUGUUGCUUACCUUUCCUUAUGCCUUUUAUAUGAUAUAUUGUUGUACAUAGUUUUUAUACUUUGGUUGCUUCUCCUGUCAUCAACAGAUUCAAAUUAUGUUAUUUUGUUCUUUAUGAUAAUUUUGUUAAAAAGCCCAUAUUAAAUUCAGGGAAAAUGUUACAUAUACAUCUUUUAAUUGCAUACACCCUUGUACACCCCAUGUAUUAGGAAGAGAGAAGAGAAGAAGAAAGAGAAAGUGUACUUGUGCGGGGUCCAUAUGGCCACAUGUCAGAUUUUUGUGUGGGUGUCAAGGGGUGCAUUGCCACCUAACCACAUGCCAGAUUUUUGUGUGGAUGUCAAGGGGUGCAUUGCCAUCUAAGGGUGUUUAUGUAUCAUAACUCUAAAUUCAGUAUGUGUUUUGUCUAUUAGUACUAGCUUGCUCUUUGUUUAUUAUAUUGUUUGAUUACCUAUGCUCUCAUAUGAAUCUUUAUUUCGG
RNAcentral lists this long non-coding RNA (859 nucleotides) under Medicago truncatula (barrel medic). RNAcentral describes it as "long non-coding RNA (MTRU_LNC000951)". Lineage: Eukaryota; Viridiplantae; Streptophyta; Magnoliopsida; Fabales; Fabaceae. The record is from RNAcentral.